ACUACAUUUCUGAUCAGAGACAACAUGCGAUUCGAGCUUACAGGAAUGCACUCUUCGUUUACAGAGAAAAUGGUUGGAGUUAUAUAUCUGAUCAUGUUCACUACAAUGUUGGAAGUUCUUGAUUUGGCUAUCAAGCAUAUGCUGGAGGUUUUGGCUUGCAGUCAUCUGUCCCUAGCCACACAAAAUGUAUUCCUUAAUGAAUUUUCC
Long non-coding RNA from Zingiber officinale, 207 nucleotides. RefSeq lists it as uncharacterized. The transcript is spliced from 3 exons. The record is from RefSeq and is a predicted model, not a curated record. Lineage: Eukaryota; Viridiplantae; Streptophyta; Magnoliopsida; Zingiberales; Zingiberaceae.